This 507-nucleotide ribosomal RNA is filed under the name Aspergillus niger. RNAcentral describes it as "eukaryotic LSU rRNA". The stretch from base 145 to 298 matches the Rfam family "5.8S ribosomal RNA". The record is from RNAcentral. Lineage: Eukaryota; Fungi; Ascomycota; Eurotiomycetes; Eurotiales; Aspergillaceae.
UUGUACCCUGUUGCUUCGGCGGGCCCGCCGCUUGUCGGCCGCCGGGGGGGCGCCUCUGCCCCCCGGGCCCGUGCCCGCCGGAGACCCCAACACGAACACUGUCUGAAAGCGUGCAGUCUGAGUUGAUUGAAUGCAAUCAGUUAAAACUUUCAACAAUGGAUCUCUUGGUUCCGGCAUCGAUGAAGAACGCAGCGAAAUGCGAUAACUAAUGUGAAUUGCAGAAUUCAGUGAAUCAUCGAGUCUUUGAACGCACAUUGCGCCCCCUGGUAUUCCGGGGGGCAUGCCUGUCCGAGCGUCAUUGCUGCCCUCAAGCCCGGCUUGUGUGUUGGGUCGCCGUCCCCCUCUCCGGGGGGACGGGCCCGAAAGGCAGCGGCGGCACCGCGUCCGAUCCUCGAGCGUAUGGGGCUUUGUCACAUGCUCUGUAGGAUUGGCCGGCGCCUGCCGACGUUUUCCAACCAUUCUUUCCAGGUUGACCUCGGAUCAGGUAGGGAUACCCGCUGAACUUAA